ACAGCCAGAAGGUAGACCAUCUGAAGUCACUGUGGCUUAUCCUGCAGCGUGAAGAUGCCUCACACGGUCCGCUCGCCGCAUAGGACAUUCAUAGAUGCAUAAUGCACGGGAGACGCCUGCGUGAUGUCGCAACAGUUCAGCGCACGCACGAUGUCGCAACAGGCCAUCCCUUCUUACUGCUGAGUUAUGCACAAAUGCAGAGUGAGAGACUCAGGAGCACUCGGUCCCAAAUGAGAUGUCUUCCCCAAACCCACCGCUCCUCUCAAGGCAUGGGGAUCUAUACUGAAGAGGACAUCAACGCAACCAAAAGAGACCAGAGACCGAGAGAGCCAGACAGGAUGGAGGGUACCAAGAAGGAAAAGGUGUCUUCCGGACAAACAGAAUCGGUGCACAUAGGAAAACCCACAGAGACCACAGCACUCACAGGACCUGUACGGGUUCAAGCCGGAUGGGGUCGCAGCGAUGACAAGGGAAACUGGUCUUGGGAUCUCACCUCUAACCAAAAGCUAUUUGCAAUUGACACCCACGGGCAAAGGAACAAUCCGCUUUCUCCAGUGGUGUCCCGGGGCGUAUCAACCAUACUGUAGCGCGGGCCCCACGCCCAGCAAUAGUUGGCCAACACAAAAUGAACUCCACGUAUUUUUUUUUUGUG
This is a long non-coding RNA of Mesocricetus auratus (golden hamster), 652 nucleotides long. RefSeq lists it as uncharacterized. The transcript is spliced from 2 exons. The record is from RefSeq and is a predicted model, not a curated record. NCBI's taxonomy places the organism in Eukaryota, Metazoa, Chordata, Mammalia, Rodentia, Cricetidae.